RNAcentral lists this non-coding RNA (319 nucleotides) under Clostridium oryzae. RNAcentral's name for it is "T-box sequence". It matches the Rfam family "T-box leader". Rfam says of the family: Uncharged tRNA acts as the effector for transcription antitermination of genes in the T-box leader family. T-boxes are found upstream of many aminoacyl-tRNA synthetase genes and some amino acid biosynthetic genes usually in Gram-positive bacteria. Lineage: Bacteria; Bacillati; Bacillota; Clostridia; Eubacteriales; Clostridiaceae. The record is from RNAcentral.
AUAAAAUCUGUGAUCAGAAAGAGUAGAUAUGGAAGUUUAGUCAAAGCGAUUCCGGGGUGGUGUGAGCCGGUUACUGUAGUCUGUAUUGAAUGGAUCUGUGAGAUGGUGUGCGAAAUAUUUACAUAGAUUAGCACUUCCCGGUAGUCUACCGUUAAAAAGACGGGAUAUUGAAAAAGUAUCCUCAUGAGAGAGUUUUUUUAGGUGGCGAAUGAAUGCGACACUUCAUCCUAAUGAUGAAGUGUCUUUUUGUAUUUAUGUUUAUAUCGUCAGCUUUAUAAGAACUAAUUUGGGUGGCAACGCGAGUCAUUUCGUCCCAUUG